This 109-nucleotide non-coding RNA is filed under the name Enterocloster clostridioformis. RNAcentral's name for it is "FMN riboswitch (RFN element)". It matches the Rfam family "FMN riboswitch aptamer (RFN element)". From Rfam's summary of the family: The RFN element is a highly conserved domain that is found frequently in the 5'-untranslated regions of prokaryotic mRNAs that encode for flavin mononucleotide (FMN) biosynthesis and transport proteins. RNAcentral also lists the same sequence under 1 other name. The record is from RNAcentral. Lineage: Bacteria; Bacillati; Bacillota; Clostridia; Lachnospirales; Lachnospiraceae.
UAUCUUCAGGGCAGGGUGCAAUUCCCUACCGGUGGUACAGCCCACGAGCCGCAAGGCAUGAUUCGGUGAAACUCCGAAGCCGACAGUACAGUCUGGAUGAAAGAAGAUG